CUCUCGCUGUGUAGUUACCAAGAUGCGUUUGCAAUACUUGCCUAGGUGGCACUUCCAUAAGUGUCAUCAUCUUUAUUUUCAUUAUGAAAAUGCCAAUUCAGGCUCCACAGUGGACGGAGUUCCUGUCUUGUCCGGUAUGUUGUAACGAGUUUGACGUCCUUCAGAGAAGCCCGAUCAGUCUCGGUUGCGGGCACACGAUUUGUAAAACAUGCCUCUCCAAUCUGCACAGAAAGCAAUGUCCUUUCGAUCAGACAACAAUAAGUAUAGACAUAGACUGUCUUCCCGUAAACUCUGCGCUGCUACAACUCGUCGGGGCCACGACAAGUAAGGGAGACGCCGAGGACUACGUCGAUCUCAAAGUGGUGCCCAAGGAGAACUUGCCGCAUUACGUUUCCGCGAAGAAAUGCGUCGAGGAGCUCGCCAUCUACUUGAAACCGUUCUCGAACGGAAACGCGAGCGCCAGCAUACUGUCGCGGCCGAUGCAGAGAAAGCUGGUGACGCUGAUCAAUUGCCAGCUGGUCGAGGACGAGGGCCGCGUGCGAGCCAUGCGCGCGGCACGGUCGCUCGGGGAACGUACCGUCACCGAGCUCAUAUUGCAACAUCAGAAUCCCCAGCAGCUGUCGGCGAAUUUGUGGGCGGCCGUUCGGGCGAGGGGUUGUCAGUUUUUGGGGCCGGCCAUGCAAGAGGAGGUGUUGAAGCUGGUGCUGUUGGCGCUGGAAGACGGUUCGGCUCUGUCUAGGAAGGUUUUGGUGAUGUUCGUUGUGCAGAGGUUGGAGCCUCACUUUCCUCAAGCCUCGAAGACAAGUAUCGGGCAUGUGGUUCAGUUACUUUACAGAGCGUCAUGUUUCAAAGUUUCGAAGCGUGAGGGUGAUUCGUCAUUAAUGCAAUUAAAAGAGGAGUUUCGCACCUAUGAGGCGCUGCGUCGCGAGCACGACGCCCAAAUUGUACAGAUCGCGACCGAGGCCGGCCUGCGAAUUGCGCCCGAUCAGUGGUCGGCCUUGCUCUACGGCGACACCGCUCAUAAGUCGCACAUGCAGAGCAUCAUCGAUAAGUUACAAACGCCACAGUCGUUCGCCCAGUCGGUUCAGGAGCUCGUAAUCGCCUUACAGAGAACGGGCGAUCCUGGAAAGCUAUCGAUCCUGAGACCUCAUCUCGAACUUCUUGCCGGAAUUGAUCCUAGUCCAGAGUCCUCGAUACCAUUGUGGAAAGAGUGCAGUGAGGUUUUGCUCGCCGUCAAGCAAGUGGUGGCGGGAUUGGUCGACUUCAUUCAUCAGCACGGCAGCCGUAAACUGCAGGACUCCGCCCACUCGCAGCAUGCGAAGUACAAAAUUAGCAUGUGUCGCGAUCUCACGUUGAGGGGCAGCUGCCCGCGCGGUUCCAAUUGUACAUUUGCGCACUCUAAUGAGGAACUUGAAAAAUCUACGUCUAGGUAUCGUGCAAAGAAUCGCAAAUCCGUCGUACGCAAUGGCACUUCGAGAGAGCACAUAGACAGUCAAUCUCCAACCGAACGCUCGUAUAAUCAAGUAGAAGACUACUAUCCAAUAGCAAACACGGCAACUACAGUAAGUCCCGUUCCAAUACCGGCCGUAGUCUCGCUCCCGCGAAUCAACUACGAUGUACCUUACAACCCGAGCUUUUCGAAUAACUCGCACUAUUCCACGCCGCAAUUGUACGGGACGAACGCGUCAAGUUAUCCGGAAAUAUACGGAAACACGCCUCAGAACGUGGUGCUCACAAACGGCGGUCAAUUUUAUCCGCCCCAACCGGAUUACGCCACCACCGCGCCGAUUAAUCAGCAGACGAUCGAGUACGCGAGACGGCCCAAUUGGGAUCAAAUGAUCAAUAAGAACCAAACGAAUUUGCAACAGAUAUCGAAGAACCGAAGCCUGACCAGUUUGGCCGAGCUGCAGCAGAGAAAGCAGGAGGUCAUCUCCCAACUGGAAAAGGUGGUCGGAAAGAACGCGGCGAUUACGAUUUCGAACACGGCCACGAACCUGGCGCUGCAAGAGUCGUACGAUUUGGAUUCGCCGUACACGUUCUGGACCGGUCAGAUCAAUUCGGGACCGACGUUUGUGCGGUCCGACUCGAUACUGAAGGACGACGAGUACGUGCCCUACGACGCGCCAUGCGUGAGCAAAUUUGGCCCGAUUUCGAGGAUGCACAAGGAGAAUGUACCCACGAACCAGGUCUCGACGCAGUUUCGUGAGCCGCCAAUUUCCACCUCGAUGGUGCGUCGUCCCGUGUCCGCACCCAGUCCCGUCACGCCCUGGUACUAUGGCAAUCCUCAAGCGUACCAUCAGAGCGGAAUCGCGCCCACCUACGUCACGUCGGCGGGCUCCGGCAUCGGCGACGGAUACGUUACUAUAGGUUCACCGCAGGUCAUCAUACAGAGAAUGCAGGAUCCCUCGAAGGAGCUGCUCGCCGAGUCGCAGAGGGUGAAAAUGCAACUUCGCAACUUGGAGAGGCAGCUGGACGAUUUAAAGUUGGCAACGCAAGGGGUCGCGAGCUUGAGCGAGGGCGAUCGGCUGACCCAGGAGUUGCACUUAAUCGAGCAGGGCAUUCAAGAGAAACAGAAGGAGGCGUGUUUGAAUAAAAUCGUCUCGUCUCUCAACCAAGCGAUGAACCACUACCGAAACGGAAGCGCCGGUCUCGGAAUGACGGAGGAGGCGAUGUACGAGGAGGACAUAGCAAACGACAUGCGCGAGUUGGAGUUGCGCUGGCAGGAGGAGCUCGAGGAACAGGAGACGGGCUGGAGCAGCGAGGACGACUUUAAGAAGUAAAUUCAACCCAAUGGGUUUAGUUUUGACAUCCCCCCCCCCUUCCUUAGUCCUUUAUACACGUCAUGACAUGCGCAGUUUCGGCAAAAAACCCGAAAUAAAACCUGGCUCCCACGAAUCAAGUUUAAAAAAAAUUUGAUGAUCUAAUUUCCAGUUUUAUUGGAAUCUGGGACUACACUAAGUGUUGUGCACAAAAAUGGUCUCUGAAUUUUUAGAAAUGAAUGGCUUUGCAUGUGGUUAAGUCUUUUAUCAUACUGUGUGUGAUUGGUAUAUCAAUACUGUCAGUUGAUAUUUUCUUUUUAGUAUGCAUUUGUUUGAAAAUGCAAAUAUUUAUCUCAUCAUUUUAAAGUAAUUUUAUACGAGUGACCUCUGCAGCUGGAUUCGAGAGCAAUCUUGAACUUUUUUUUUAAAAGUUAUUCGAGACUCUUAGGUACUUACGCCUGACUGACAAAAGUGUUCAUUUGAACUCGGAGUUCAACCAUUAACGGGCGAAGAUGUUUUAUUGUUAUGUAUUAAGCUGAUAACCCUUAACCUUAAUUAUUUAUUCUUAUUUUUAAAGAAUUGUUAAUUGCAUUACGUCUGUUGGCACUGUCGCAUGACGGUGGUGUGUUCUAAUUAAUUGCUUUUAUAAAGACACUGCGUAUGAAAAGUUUAAUAUAUGCGAUGAUGAGUAAGUAAGCCGUCGUAUGUAACGGUACGGCAUAUUUCGAGUUUUAUCAAAUUUGCAAUAUAUGGUUUAGGCUGUGUCAUUGUUUUUACCAUUGUACGUGUGCAGCAGCGCAGCCAACAGUGAAGAGGGCGUGGUGGGCGGAUCCGAUUGGUGCAAUUCAGUGGUAUAAUAAUAGACUCCUAUGUAAUUGUUGUUAUUCUUUUUUUACAUGGAUUUACACCAUUCAAAUUUGGACUUAUGUUUACCUUAUUUGGUAUUAUGUGGUGCGGUUAAUUUAAUUGCUGGCAGAAUAACAGAAAAAAUCAGCGCAAUAGUAACAGUCGACUCGGCUGUAGAUGUUCCCGGACUAAGGACUGAGUAAAUUUGUUUCACAUUUUGUAUAUAUGGUGUUGUCGCGGUGCGUUUGUAUUAUGAUCACAAAGGACAAUGCGAGCAAUAUUGUUAGGGUGUGCAAUAUCAUUGUUUAAAUGGCAAUACCAAAUUAUACCUAUACCUUGAGAGCUUCCACCCUGUAUAUACAACUUACGACCUUGGAUGAAAAAAUAACUGGAUUGCUAGGAAAGUCAAAUUUAUGAAGCCAACAUCUACAGCGCCAUCACAGGGCAGUUGUGCGUUUUGUGAAAUGAAAUUUGACACACGCACAGAAUAAGAAGAAGGCCAUAUUCUGUGGACACACGUCAAUGUUACGAGAUUUAAUUUGGGUGUUUUAUAGUGAUUUAAUGUAAUUUUGUGUUUGUUAGUCGUGUUACUUUUAUAGAAUUAAUUAAAAAUGAGACGCUGAA
Molecule: RNA transcript, 4229 nt
Organism: Photinus pyralis (common eastern firefly)
Lineage: Eukaryota; Metazoa; Arthropoda; Insecta; Coleoptera; Lampyridae
Gene: roq
Gene name: roquin-1
Exons: 12
Source: RefSeq, a predicted model, not a curated record